Molecule: long non-coding RNA, 618 nt
Organism: Passer domesticus (house sparrow)
Lineage: Eukaryota; Metazoa; Chordata; Aves; Passeriformes; Passeridae
Exons: 3
Source: RefSeq, a predicted model, not a curated record
ACCGCCCCCUCGGGGCAGGGGCGCGGGCCGGGCUGAGGGGAAGGGAAGGGCCUGGAGCGGGAUUCAGACAGGGGCCGGGAAUGCCGCGGGGUCCAGUGGACUGGGUGGCAGCCCAGCUCUGUUGACAGCAGUUUGAAGCCAACAACAGGAGUUACAUGUUGAUGCUAGCACUGACAAAUGAUUCAGGCAAAAGAGAUCAUGACAUCUGUCAUUCUCUACACAAGGGUGCAAGCCCAGACCAAGUUCUUAAACGCCUCCAACUCAGCAGAAGGUUAAAAAGAUGCACAGGUUCUGCUGGACUCUUCGGGCCACAGCAAUCCCGAGUACCAGAGCCAAGAUUCCCCAGGCCUCGAAGCUGUGCUGUUGUGUAGCUGCCCCCAAGCCCAGCACGGGGCUCUGCAGACACUCAGGGUCAUGCAGCUGAGCAGUGGGCCAUGCUGGGGACAACGGGCAGUGGUACCAGCUCUGUCCAUCCCUGCUCAGGCAGGAGUUGUGCCUGUCUCCUUGGCAUUCUGGAAGAGAACAGUCUGGAGAGCUGUGUGAAGACAGCAUCCCUGUCACGCUGCCCUUUUCCCCAGGAUAUGAUGGGAGAGGUGCCCUGUCUGUUCACGGAGCCCA